This 253-nucleotide unclassified non-coding RNA is filed under the name Hevea brasiliensis (rubber tree). Lineage: Eukaryota; Viridiplantae; Streptophyta; Magnoliopsida; Malpighiales; Euphorbiaceae. The record is from RNAcentral.
CAACGAUAUACGCAGCUCCAUUUCAUCAUCGCAGUCAUCCUCUUCUUCUCUACUACCACCACCACCAUCAAAUCCUACACGUGAGGGUUCAAGGACAAUUUCAAUAUACGAUUCAUUGUCGUCGUCGUCUUCACUCUGAUUGAUAUCGGAGAAAAUAGCGAGAGAGGAAGAGGAUUUGAAGUCACAGCAGCCGCUAAACGAGAAACUCUGUUCCAGCUCUGGAUCUCGACAUUCGAUGCUUUUGGUUUCCAUG